This 1247-nucleotide long non-coding RNA is filed under the name Gallus gallus (chicken). RNAcentral's name for it is "long non-coding RNA NONGGAT005811". Lineage: Eukaryota; Metazoa; Chordata; Aves; Galliformes; Phasianidae. The record is from RNAcentral.
CAUCUACCCAGUGGUCAUAAUAGCUCUGACUGGCAGCAUGUGCAAGGACUUCUCUGUAUCCUCCCCAACCACCAACGGUGUUUUUAUAGUUGUACUGCUGGCACUGACUUGUUUCAUCUUUGCUGUUCGGCUGGCGUUAGUCAUAUGGAAGCACAGCAAUGAACCAGUGGAAGCACCAGCACCACCACCACAGCCAUCAAGCACAGCAGCCUGAGACCUCUGGCAUGGUGAUGCUAUGUCAGAUGCUUUAGAGGGAGAAGUAAGAGCUGAGCAUCCUGCUUCCACUGGUCCUUCCUUCCAGUAGCAAUUACCCUAUUUUUUUAGCUAUUUUUCUGGUUUUUUUUUUUUUAAAUAUGCUGGAUUAGUAAGGCUUGUGCCUGCAAACCCAUCCUCCUCCCCUGUUCUCUGAGCUCAGCUAUUUGCAGCCCCACCUCAAACAUGCACCUUCCUCUGUUUCAUUUUUGGUCAGUGGAGGAAGAGGCCCUUUGGAUGAGUAGCUCUGUAUACAUUUGUGAUGACAGAGCUGCUCCUUCCAGUGUGAGGGGGGCUGUCAGCAGAUGCUUGGCACGGAGAGUUGCCCUCACCCUUUCCUGGGAGCUAUGGUGGGCAUGGGAGGAGGGAUGGCUGAAUACUUCUGACACAGCUGCAAGUCUUCGGCCUAUUUCAGGUUGCUCUAACUCUAGGAACUGACAACCUGUUCAUUUCUCGGCACACAGUAUUAUCUCUGUGACUUUCUUACUGAAGCUUGUCACUGUGUCGGUGCCUCCAUCCAUGGCCCCAAAGUAACAGCAGAUCUGUGUCCCCUACCCCACUCCUCCUUUCAGACAGGGGAGAUCCAGGUGAUAUGGGAGCAGUGGGUUACUUGUCCUGAGCUGUGCCCAGUUGGUCACUGCCUCCUUGCAGCCCUUCUGCUGGGAGAUCAGCCAUUCAGACACCACCAUACCUGAUGGAGGGUGGAGCCUGCUGCUUCAUGGAAUGCUUCUUGCAUUCUGAGCUGGGGUAGAGUGAGUUCUUCCUGGAUCAGUGCUUUAUAAUGUGGCUUCACCACUGUGGGCUUACUUUGGGAAGCCUGAAUGAGUACUGACUGGAUUGUCAGACCUCCACCUCUAUUUGCUGUGCCUACUAGAUUUGAUGGUGCCUUGUUGGUGUCUGGAAAGUCUUCCUCGAUGACUGGUGCUUGGAAAUGCUGAAUAUCUUGCAGUACUAUUACGAAGGUGAAUUCUACUAAAAUAACAUGUUAUUGUCUA